ACUCCUACGGGAGGCAGCAGUGGGGAAUAUUGCACAAUGGGCGCAAGCCUGAUGCAGCCAUGCCGCGUGUAUGAAGAAGGCCUUCGGGUUGUAAAGUACUUUUCAGCAGAUGAGGAAGGUAGUGUAGUUAAUAGCUCGCAUUAUUUGACGUUAGCUGCAGAAGAAGCACCGGCUAACUCCGUGCCAGCAGCCGCGGUAAUACGGAGGGUGCGAGCGUUAAUCGGAAUUACUGGGCGUAAAGCGCAUGCAGGUGGUUUGUUAAGUCAGAUGUGAAAGCCCGGGGCUCAACCUCGGAAUAGCAUUUGAAACUGGCAGACUAGAGGUACUGUAGAGGGGGUAGAAGUUUCAGGUGUAGCGGUGAAAGUGCGGUAGA
This 373-nucleotide ribosomal RNA is filed under the name uncultured bacterium. RNAcentral describes it as "bacterial SSU rRNA". It matches the Rfam family "Bacterial small subunit ribosomal RNA", at positions 335 to 694 of the family's 1533-position model. The record is from RNAcentral.